Molecule: long non-coding RNA, 1161 nt
Organism: Asparagus officinalis (garden asparagus)
Lineage: Eukaryota; Viridiplantae; Streptophyta; Magnoliopsida; Asparagales; Asparagaceae
Exons: 4
Source: RefSeq, a predicted model, not a curated record
AUAGAAACGAAAAUUCUUUUUCUCCCGUUCUCCCCAACCCGCGAUAUUUCCCCCAAAAUUUUCCCUAAAACCAGCGCACCCCCCAAAGAAAUCUCCCCAGCCCUCGAAUCUUCCUCAACCAAGUCCGACUGCGACUGCCUGCCAACGCGCCUCUCGUCCAACAACACUCUCGCUCCUCCGCCUCAUCUUCGUCCGGGGCUCGCUGAUCAUAUUUGCCGCGGGCCAACAUAGCCCCUCCACCUCCCUCAUCUUCGUCGGGGAUCUUGCUCCUUCGCCUCCUCCUCCAUCGCCUUUCGAUUCCACCGCAUCCUCCUCCACCGUCUCCACCACCUCAUCCUCAAGUUGCCCCAAUAUCCUCUGUAAAUUAGUACUAUCUCCUCUCUACAAAACCCUAAACCUAAUUUAUUUGACCAUCUAACCCAAUUUCCCUAUUUACUGCAAAUUAAUUGACUUCUCGACGUUGCCUUCUCUUCCUCAGUCAUCCUCUUUCUCCAGUAGACUUAUUUAAGAUUCAGGAGAUUUAUCUUGACAUACAACUCCUCCCUGCUCAAAUUUGCUUCAUAAAGAAAGGUCAAAUCAUUGAGGAUGGUGGCACACCUAUAAUGUUGAAACUAUAUUUGGGUACCCACUCGCCAUCAGUAGAUAACACCGGAGAGUAUACAUACCCGGACAACAGCACUAAGGAGUAUUGCGUCAUUUGAAGCUUAGCAAAAAGUUUUGCUCGACGACAGAUGAGGAAAAGAGUGAGAUGGAGAAUAUUCCUUACUCUUCAGCUGUGGCGAGUUUGAUGUAUUUCAUGGUUUACACUCAGCCAGAUGUAGCUCAUGCAAUUGGCGUUGUGAGCAGGUUUCUUUCUAAUCCAGAGAAAGUUCAUUUGGAAGAUGUAAAGUAGAUCUUAAAAUAUUUGAAAAGCAGUUCUAGAUUGUGUUUGAGUUUUGGAGGUUCGAAGUGGUUUUGCAGAUGCAGAUAUGGCAGGUGAUCUCGAUCACAGGAAGUCUACCUCAUGUUGGUUGUUCACUUUUACAGGGGGGAUAAGGCAUUAUUAUAAUUGUCAUAUUUUUUCAUGCUUAUAGUCGCAACAUUUUCUUUCCUUUUCUCCUUUUCAUCUUGUUUUUCUUUUCUGUUCUCUUAUCAAUUACUAUAUAAUUAAAGACAAACCUU